CCCAUCGUGUAUUUAACCAUAUGAAAUGUCCUUCUUGGUUUUAUGUCAGUAAGGUGAGCCAGGACACUGACACUGGCUCUCAACAACACCCCACUGUGGACGCGUCAACCUUUCACCCAGGUUGUUCCAAUCGAUGGUAGGUGUCAGAAUAUUCCUGCCUGUCCAUCCGGAGGCUUCCUCCUCGCCUGCAGGCCAGAGACACCCUGAAACGAACGAUAUCAAAGGUGUCAGUCAUGGAGUUCUCCAUGUCCGUCCUUUAUCUUUCAGCCCUGAGGAAAGGAUGAGAUGAGCUUACUGGUUUUCCUCCACACCUGAGCACCACGGGCACA
This is a long non-coding RNA of Pseudoliparis swirei, 329 nucleotides long. RefSeq lists it as uncharacterized. NCBI's taxonomy places the organism in Eukaryota, Metazoa, Chordata, Actinopteri, Perciformes, Liparidae. The record is from RefSeq and is a predicted model, not a curated record. The transcript has 3 exons.